GUGGUAUAUGGACUUUUCCCUUUAUUUGGGAAGUUGUUCAGGUUCUCUUUUGUAAAUACGGACUGGAAUUGGUCGUUAAGGAUAUUAGCUUUGCUUUUGUUGUCGCUUUGGAGGAAUCCCAUUUUGUUCUUCAAUGGUGCUACUCCUGUCCAUUCCUGACCUUUGCUUUUAAUAUAGGACCAGAAUUUCUUGGAGUUGUCCUUGUAGUUGGAGCUGACUUCUUCCAUGUAUUUCUUAUUGGCUUGUCGUAUUUCCCAUUGUACUUCUUGUCGUAGUCUCUUGUAUCUGUCUUGGUCUCUUUUCUUUUUGGUUUUCCUAGCUUUCUUGUGCGCUUUUUGUUUUUGGUUGAUCUUGCGUCUUAUUGCUGUGUUCAUCCAUGGGUGUGUGUCUACCUUGAGUCAUUUUUGUUGGUACUCGCUUCUCAAUGGUUUUUUGAAUUUCUGAUUUGAAGCUUUGCCACAUGGAUUCUACAGUUCUGUUGCAGGUGCUUUUAAAAGAUGUCUUGAAUGUUUCGAGGUCUUCCUUUAUCUUAUAUAUAUCUGCUUUUUUCCACAGGUAUAUCUUUCUUUUAACUGGUUUGGGUUUUAAAGGUUUACAUGCUAUAUCAAGUAAGACGAUGUCAUGGUCGCUGUUUCCUAUUGAUGGUAAUGGUUUACAUCUUAGUUUGAAUGAUGGAUGAGAGGUAAGUAUUAAAUCCAAGGUGUUUUCUUUGCGUGUUGGGAAAUCUACGAUUUGUUCUAACCACCAUAUCAGCUACAGGUGUCUAAAAAAGCUUGACUGGUUCUUGUGGGGUACUGUCUAUUUGUGAUGGUCUGUUCUUGCCAAUUUAUAUCUGGUAGGUUGAAGUCGCCUCCAAUCAAGAAGAUGUUUUUUUGAUGUUUUGAUUUGAUGGUACUUAUUUCCUCUUUAACUGUAUUAAGGUAGGUGUCAUCUGUUUUAUCUGGAGGGCGAUAAAAUGCACCAAUAAGCAUUUUCUUUUUUCCUUCUAAGGCGAUUGUACCAGUUAAUAGUUCUAUCUCACCGCUUUUUGUUAUGUUCCCUAGUUGUAAUGUUUGUUUGGCUGCUAUCAAAACUCCCCCAUGUGGGUCUUUGGGACGAUCCCUUCGUUCGAUAUCAUAUUUAAGGUAAUCAGGAAAAAUUUCACUUGAUUUAAUGUUUGGAUCUAGCCAUGUUUCUGUGCCUAUUAUUAUGUCCGGAUCAGUUGACUCUAUAAUUGCCUCCAGAAGUUUACCCUUUUUUCUUAGACUCUGGAAGUUGAUGUUCAGCAGUCUUAGUUGUUUCUUAGGGGUUGGUUUCGUUUUGGCUGGUUUAGGUGAUGAUGUCAUGAUCGGUAUAUCUGUACUGAAUGAUGUUGUGUUGAAAGAUGGUGAGUUAAUGCUUGAUCCUGAUGUUGAUGGUAUGGAUGAAUCUGAUAUACUGUCUAGCAAUAACGGAUUAGUAGAUAUAUUAAGGGAGGUAUGUUUGCUGUCGUCUCCACUUGGUAUAAAGUAUACUUUUGUCGAAGAGUUGUUGGGUUUUGAGCAUGAUGGACAUGUCCAUGUGUCUUCGCUCUUGCCUAGAUUGCUGAAUUCUGUUGUAGACAUUCCAAUGCAAUUUCUGUGUGUCCAUUUGUCACAGUCGUCACAGGCUAUUGAUUCUAAUUUGCAUGCUUU
Molecule: long non-coding RNA, 1652 nt
Filed under: Mytilus galloprovincialis (Mediterranean mussel)
Lineage: Eukaryota; Metazoa; Mollusca; Bivalvia; Mytilida; Mytilidae
Source: RNAcentral